AUGAACGCUGGCGGCGUGCCUAACACAUGCAAGUCGAACGGAUUUACUCGCUGCAGAGACUUCGGUCAAAGCUUGAGUAAAGUAGUGGCGGACGGGUGAGUAACGCGUGGGCAACCUGCCUCAUACUGGGGGGAUAACAGUUGGAAACGACUGUUAAUACCGCAUAAGCGCACAGUGUCGCAUGACACAGUGUGAAAAACUCCGGUGGUAUGAGAUGGGCCCGCGUCAGAUUAGCUAGUUGGCGGGGUAACGGCCCACCAAGGCGACGAUCUGUAGCCGGACUGAGAGGUCGGACGGCCACAUUGGGACUGAGACACGGCCCAAACUCCUACGGGAGGCAGCAGUGGGGGAUAUUGCACAAUGGAGGAAACUCUGAUGCAGCGACGCCGCGUGAAGUGAAGAAGUAUUUCGGUAUGUAAAGCUCUAUCAGCAGGGAAGAAAGGCUCGCAAGAGAGAUGACGGUACCUGACUAAGAAGCCCCGGCUAACUACGUGCCAGCAGCCGC
This 505-nucleotide ribosomal RNA is filed under the name uncultured bacterium. RNAcentral's name for it is "bacterial SSU rRNA". It matches the Rfam family "Bacterial small subunit ribosomal RNA", at positions 29 to 518 of the family's 1533-position model. The record is from RNAcentral.